UACGUAGGGGGCAAGCGUUGCUCGGAAUCACUGGGCGUAAAGGGUGCGUAGGCGGGUCUUUAAGUCAGGGGUGAAAUCCUGGAGCUCAACUCCAGAACUGCCUUUGAUACUGAGGAUCUUGAGUCCGGGAGAGGUGAGUGGAACUGCGAGUGUAGAGGUGAAAUUCGUAGAUAUUCGCAAGAACACCAGUGGCGAAGGCGGCUCACUGGCCCGGUACUGACGCUGAGGCACGAAAGCGUGGGGAGCGAACAGG
This 253-nucleotide ribosomal RNA is filed under the name uncultured bacterium. Its description in RNAcentral is "partial 16S ribosomal RNA". It matches the Rfam family "Bacterial small subunit ribosomal RNA", at positions 524 to 776 of the family's 1533-position model. The record is from RNAcentral.